RNAcentral lists this ribosomal RNA (506 nucleotides) under uncultured bacterium. Its description in RNAcentral is "partial 16S ribosomal RNA". It matches the Rfam family "Bacterial small subunit ribosomal RNA", at positions 29 to 523 of the family's 1533-position model. The record is from RNAcentral.
AGUGAACGCUGGCGGUAGGCCUAACACAUGCAAGUCGAACGGCAGCACAGGAGAGCUUGCUCUCUGGGUGGCGAGUGGCGGACGGGUGUGGAAUACAUCGGAAUCUACUUUUUCGUGGGGGUUAAUGUAGGGAAACUUACGCUAAUACCGCAUACGACCUACGGGUGAAAGCAGGAGACCUUCGGUCCUUGCGCGAUUGAAUGAGCCGAUGUCGGAUUAGCUAGUUGGCGGGGUAAAGGCCCACCAAGGCGACUAUCCGUAGCUGGUCUGAGAGGAUGAUCAGCCACACUGGAACUGAGACACGGUCCAGACUCCUACGGGAGGCAGCAGUGGGGAAUAUUGGACAAUGGGCGCAAGCCUGAUCCAGCCAUACCGCGUGGGUGAAGAAGGCCUCCGGGUUGUAAAGCCCUUUUGUUGGGAAAGAAAUCCAGCUGGUUAAUACCCGGUUGGGAUGACGGUACCCAAAGAAUAAGCACCGGCUAACUUCGUGCCAGCAGCCGCGGUAA